RNAcentral lists this non-coding RNA (939 nucleotides) under Syngnathus exilis (barcheek pipefish). RNAcentral describes it as "12S ribosomal RNA". It matches the Rfam family "Bacterial small subunit ribosomal RNA". Lineage: Eukaryota; Metazoa; Chordata; Actinopteri; Syngnathiformes; Syngnathidae. The record is from RNAcentral.
CAAAGGCCUGGUCCUAACUUUGCUGUCGCCUAUAGCUAUACUUACACAUGCAAGUAUCCGCAUACCCGUGAGGAUGCCCUUCACCCUCUUAUGAGUCCAAGGAGCUGGUAUCAGGCACACUUAAUUGAAGCCCAUAACACCUUGCUCAGCCACACCCCCAAGGGAAUUCAGCAGUGAUAAACAUUAAGCCAUAAGUGCAAACUUGACUUAGUUAAAGCUAAGAGGGCCGGUAAAACUCGUGCCAGCCACCGCGGUUAUACGAGAGGCCCAAGCUGACAGAGAACGGCGUAAAGAGUGGUUAAGUAGUCCUAACACUAAAGCUAAACAUUUUCCUAGCUGUUAUACGCAUUUGAAAAUAUGAGAAUCUUCCACGAAAGUGGCUUUACUCUUCUGACUCCACGAAAGUUAUGAAACAAACUGGGAUUAGAUACCCCACUAUGCAUAACCGUAAACACCGAUAUUUAUUUACUUUUAAUCCGCCAGGGGACUACAAGCAUUGGCUUGAAACCCAAAGGACUUGGCGGUGCUUUAGAACCACCUAGAGGAGCCUGUUCUAGAACUGAUAACCCCCGUUCAACCUCACCCUACUUUGUCAUACCCGCCUAUAUACCGCCGUCGUCAGCUUACCUUGUGAGAGAAUAUUAGUGAGCAAAAUUAGUACAACCCAAAACGUCAGGUCGAGGUGUAGUGUAUAGUAGGGGAAGAAAUGGGCUACAUUUAUCCUACCGAUAAAUACGAAUGAUUUACUGAAAAGUAAAGCUGAAGGAGGAUUUAGUAGUAAGAAGAAAAUAGAGAGUUCUUCUGAAAUAGGCUCUAAAGCGCGCACACACCGCCCGUCACUCUCCCCUAAUGCCUCAUAAAAUUAAGUAAAAUGCCUGAAAAAAUAAGGGGAGGCAAGUCGUAACAUGGUAAGUGUACCGGAAGGUGCACUUGGAAUAC